UUGGUUGUCUUAGAUGAUGUUUGGAAUGAAAAGUAUGAUGCUUGGGACAUCUUACAGAGACCUUUUAAGUAUGGAGCAAAAGGAAGUAAAAUUGUGGUUACAACAAGAAAUGAAAGCGUAGCGUCGAUUAUGCACACUGUUCCAAGCUAUUAUUCGAAGGAAUUAUCUUAUGAAGAUUGUUGGUUAUUGUUUGUAAGAUAUGCAUUUGAUG
This 211-nucleotide unclassified non-coding RNA is filed under the name Hevea brasiliensis (rubber tree). Lineage: Eukaryota; Viridiplantae; Streptophyta; Magnoliopsida; Malpighiales; Euphorbiaceae. The record is from RNAcentral.